CAUAAUAGCAAGUUUAUGAAAAUAUGUUUGGUAGUUUUUGAGGUACGUACACCUACCCCGUCAUUGACAUUGGAACUCCCAUAAGAGAUUUUGCUCCGGAUGACUUUUAAACUCUUUGAGUUUUUGUAAAAUUUGAAAAUCAUUGUUUAGUUAUCUUCUAGAAUAUUGUCAAGUUUCAAAUUUCAAAAAACAGCAAAAAACAGUUUUUUUCAAGUUAUUAAACUAUUAAAAAACACACAAACAUGAAGAAAGUAAAAAGAUGUAAGCAAUGAAACCAACUGAACAGAUUCAAAUCCAAAACCCAUUUAUGGUCCUUCGAGCCGGAUUACAUGUGAAAUGUUAGCAUUUUUUAAAACUUUUUUUUGUGAUAAAAUUUUAAGCCUUCUUUUUAAUAUCUGAAUCCUAGUUUAUAAACACUAUUUUAAAACACGUUUUCGAUAGCAACGUGUUUUCACAAUUUUAAAACACGCUUCUCAUAGCAAACUGUUUUAAAUUAUCAUGUUCCAACAAAAAAAAAUUAAUAACAGUUUUGCGAUAACGUUUAAAGUUCUUGGAUGUCUAAGUAUGCAACUCGCAUACGCCCGUUGCAUAAUGACAGCUCUCGAACUUUCAGCUUGUCUUUUUGCACUCGUAUUAUUAAUAACUAUAAUGUAAUGAUCCCUCGUUAUUUAACUGAAUGUAAAUUGAAUAAUAAUGCUUUCAUUAUGUAGAGCUAGUCAAAGAACAUUAUAAUUAUCAUCAAUUCAUCUACUAGAAGUAAUUUAAAAUAUUGUUUGUAUUUAAGGUAUAGUUACGGUUUCUAAAUAAUGUGUGAUUAAUUAAAGUUUGAAAUUAACAAAAAAAUAGAAACUUGUAAGCAAUGAAAACAACUGAACAAAAUCAAGUCCCUAAUCUGGUCCCUCGAGCCGGAUUACCUCGAACACUUGUGCUAGUCAAUAAUUUUAAUUUGUGCAUGAGAUGUUAUAACCGUUCCUAUUUAGGAAUAAUACUAUAAUACGUGUAUAUACACGUUUUGUAGUAUUAUUCCUUAGUUUAAUGUUCCUCAAACUUUUAUUUGAAAUAUUUUUUUAACUCGCUUCGUUCGUUGAAAUUAGUUACAACCUUCAAAUUUUAGAUGAUGUUUUGUGGUUACUUCGAUUUUGGUGUUGUGACAUUUUCCAGUACAAACUAUUGAAGUUUGUAAUAUUUGUAAUGUUGGUGGCCAACACAGUGCUUAUGGUACUUCAAGGAUAUCAUUUUCUUAUCAAUUUCAACAGCCUUUACUUCAUAUCGUAUUCGCCUUACUGGUUUGGAUCCUUUUUUGUAAUAUACAUUCGAAAAACUUGAGUGCAUCAUAAUAUUUUAAAUUACAAUUGAAAAUUUGUAGAUCAUUCUCUCACUUACAACAUGUUUAACUAUAUCUAACAUUGGACCUGAAGGCAUUAAAUCAGCAACGCUGUGGCAAAUAAAAUCCACUGACCCAAAAUUAAUCAAUCGAAUCAAAUUUCAAGUUAAAUUAAUCACAGCUUACAUCAUUGUUAACACAGUUAUUGCACUAAUUGCUGGUCUUGCCCACACUUUUCCAUCAAAAAAUGCAGAAGAGAUAUGUUAUGUGUACAAAAUCAUUGAAAUUUAUGUUCCAAAAUGGAAAACUGAACUUUGUUGGAUGUAUAAAGCGAGCUACAUUGUUAUGGCACUUGCACUACCAGCCACCUGCAACCAAGUGGUGUACGGGGCAACUCACAUACGAUUUCAAUUCUAUUUGGUUUUGGACUGGAUAAGGAACAACAUUAUUGAAUCGGGUUGCGAUGAUUUAAAAUUGCCCAACGACAAGGAUUUUCAGCACAAAAUUACAAAAAACAUUAUUGUUAUUGUAAAACGUUACACAGAAUUUCACAGAACUUUUCAAGCAGUUAACCAGCGAAUAGCAAUUUAUAUAUUGUUGUAUGCUGUUAUUGGAGGGUUGCUUGGCAUAAGUAUCCUUAUGUUCUAUUUUAAGUUUUCAGACACUCUAGUGAUAAGUGACUAUCUUCACGCUGGUACUUUAACAGUAGCAGCAAUUACUACAUUUAUGGCAACAGUAACAUCUGGACAGAAACUAGAGGAUAUUUUUGAAGAACUUCUCUACACAUGGUGCUCGGUUCCUUGGUAUUUGUUCAACAAAUGGAAUAAACAAAUUUACCUCAUGAUUAUGGUUAAUAUCAAACCGAUCAACUUUCGAUUCACGGAAAAUUCCAGCGUCAACUACAACUUAGGAGCAGCAAUUGCGAAAACGAUAUAUUCGAUGUUAUCUCUUCUUACACAAAUGAGUGACAAGGAUGUCAGUACGUUGUGAUCAAUGAAAUAACAAACACAGUACACACUAUUGUUAGUUCCUGUUUUUGCAAUAAAGAGACCGACACUUGACCUGUUACUUAAAAUCAAUUAAAUUACACCAAA
Molecule: long non-coding RNA, 2418 nt
Organism: Tribolium castaneum (red flour beetle)
Lineage: Eukaryota; Metazoa; Arthropoda; Insecta; Coleoptera; Tenebrionidae
Exons: 5
Source: RefSeq, a predicted model, not a curated record